RNAcentral lists this ribosomal RNA (1399 nucleotides) under Mycoplasmopsis arginini. RNAcentral describes it as "Mycoplasma arginini 16S ribosomal RNA". It matches the Rfam family "Bacterial small subunit ribosomal RNA". The record is from RNAcentral. Lineage: Bacteria; Bacillati; Mycoplasmatota; Mycoplasmoidales; Metamycoplasmataceae.
UAGCGGCGAAUGGGUGAGUAACACGUGCUUUUACCCUUUAGAUUGGAAUACCCAAUGGAAACAUUGGCUAAUGCCGGAUACGCAUGGAAUCGCAUGAUUCCGUUGUGAAAGGAGCCUUUAAAGCUCCGCUAGAGGAUGAGGGUGCGGAACAUUAGUUAGUUGGUAGGGUAAUGGCCUACCAAGACUAUGAUGUUUAGCCGGGUCGAGAGACUGAACGGCCACAUUGGGACUGAGAUACGGCCCAAACUCCUACGGGAGGCAGCAGUAGGGAAUAUUCCACAAUGAGCGAAAGCUUGAUGGAGCGACACAGCGUGCACGAUGAAGGUCUUCGGAUUGUAAAGUGCUGUUAUAGGGAAAGAACACCUGGUUGAGGAAAUGCUUCCAGGCUGACGGUACCCUGUCAGAAAGCGAUGGCUAACUAUGUGCCAGCAGCCGCGGUAAUACAUAGGUCGCAAGCGUUAUCCGGAAUUAUUGGGCGUAAAGCGUUCGUAGGCUGUUUAUUAAGUCUGGAGUCAAAUCCCAGGGCUCAACCCUGGCUCGCUUUGGAACUGGUAAACUAGAGUUAGAUAGAGGUAAGCGGAAUUCCAUGUGAAGCGGUGAAAUGCGUAGAUAUAUGGAAGAACACCAAAGGCGAAGGCAGCUUACUGGGUCUAUACUGACGCUGAGGGACGAAAGCGUGGGGAGCAAACAGGAUUAGAUACCCUGGUAGUCCACGCCGUAAACGAUGAUCAUUAGUCGGUGAGAGUUCACUGACGCAGCUAACGCAUUAAAUGAUCCGCCUGAGUAGUAUGCUCGCAAGAGUGAAACUUAAAGGAAUUGACGGGGACCCGCACAAGCGGUGGAGCAUGUGGUUUAAUUUGAAGAUACGCGGAGAACCUUACCCACUCUUGACAUCCUUCGCAAUGCUAUAGAGAUAUAGCGGAGGUUAACGGAGUGACAGAUGGUGCAUGGUUGUCGUCAGCUCGUGAAAUUGGUCAAGUCCUGCAACGAGCGCAACCCCUAUCUUUAGUUACUAACGAGUCAUGUCGAGGACUCUAGAGAUACUGCCUGGGUAACUGGGAGGAAGGUGGGGAUGACGUCAAAUCAUCAUGCCUCUUACGAGUGGGGCAACACACGUGCUACAAUGGCCGGUACAAAGAGAAGCAAUAUGGCGACAUGGAGCAAAUCUCAAAAAGCCGAUCUCAGUUCGGAUUGGAGUCUGCAAUUCGACUCCAUGAAGUCGGAAUCGCUAGUAAUCGCAGAUCAGCUACGCUGCGGUGAAUACGUUCUCGGGUCUUGUACACACCGCCGUCACACCAUGGGAGCUGGUAAUACCCAAAGUCGGGUUAGCUAACCUCGGAGGCGACCGCCUAAGGUAGGACUGGUGACUGGGGUGAAGUCGUAACAAGGUAUCCCUACG